UUUGUCCUACGGGAUGCAGCAGACGAGAAACAUUAAUAAUGGGGGAAACCCUGAUGGUGCGACGCCGCGUGGGGGAAUGAAGGUCUUCGGAUUGUAAACCCCUGUCAUGUGGGAGCAAAUUAAAAAGAUAGUACCACAAGAGGAAGAGACGGCUAACUCUGUGCCAGCAGCCGCGGUAAUACAGAGGUCUCAAGCGUUGUUCGGAAUCACUGGGCGUAAAGCGUGCGUAGGCUGUUUCGUAAGUCGUGUGUGAAAGGCGCGGGCUCAACCCGCGGACGGCACAUGAUACUGCGAGCCUAGAGUAA
RNAcentral lists this ribosomal RNA (305 nucleotides) under uncultured bacterium. RNAcentral describes it as "bacterial SSU rRNA". It matches the Rfam family "Bacterial small subunit ribosomal RNA", at positions 333 to 649 of the family's 1533-position model. The record is from RNAcentral.